AUAUAAGAAUUUAGUCUUGAUUGAACCAAUUCAUAGUAAACUAUUGAAUAAAUAUUCAAAAGAAAUUGGGUUCUUACUGCGAACUUUCAACUG
Non-coding RNA from Caenorhabditis elegans, 93 nucleotides. NCBI's taxonomy places the organism in Eukaryota, Metazoa, Nematoda, Chromadorea, Rhabditida, Rhabditidae. The record is from Ensembl.